AGUCUUACAACCACUAUCCGCCAGGGGACUACAAGCAUCAGCUUGAAACCCAAAGGACUUGGCGGUGCUUUAGAUCCACCUAGAGGAGCCUGUUCUAGAACCGAUAACCCCCGUUUAACCUCACCUCCCCUUGUUAAUACCGCCUAUAUACCACCGUCGUCAGCUUACCCUGUGAGGGACUAAUAGUAAGCUAAACUGGUACAACCCUGAACGUCAGGUCGAGGUGUAGCGAAUGAGGAGGGAAGAAAUGGGCUACAUUCGCUACAACAGCGAACACGAAUGAUGUCCUGAAAUGAACAUCUGAAGGAGGAUUUAGCAGUAAGUAGAAAAUAGAGCGUUCCACUGAAAUUGGCCCUGAAGCGCGCACACAUCGCCCGUCACUCUUCCCAAGCCUAAUGACAUAAUUAACUAAAAAUUAA
RNAcentral lists this ribosomal RNA (419 nucleotides) under Gasterosteus wheatlandi (blackspotted stickleback). RNAcentral describes it as "partial 12S ribosomal RNA". It matches the Rfam family "Bacterial small subunit ribosomal RNA", at positions 848 to 1438 of the family's 1533-position model. Lineage: Eukaryota; Metazoa; Chordata; Actinopteri; Perciformes; Gasterosteidae. The record is from RNAcentral.